UAAGGAAUAUUGGUCAAUGGAGGCAACUCUGAACCAGCCAUGCCGCGUGCAGGAAGACGGCCCUCUGGGUUGUAAACUGCUUUUAUUCGGGAAUAAACCUGCUUACGUGUAAGUAGCUGAAUGUACCGAAGGAAUAAGGAUCGGCUAACUCCGUGCCAGCAGCCGCGGUAAUACGGAGGAUCCAAGCGUUAUCCGGAUUUAUUGGGUUUAAAGGGUGCGUAGGCGGCCUGUUAAGUCAGGGGUGAAAGACGGUAGCUCAACUAUCGCAGUGCCCUUGAUACUGAUGGGCUUGAAUGGACUAGAGGUAGGCGGAAUGAGACAAGUAGCGGUGAAAUGCAUAGAUAUGUCUCAGAACACCGAUUGCGAAGGCAGCUUACUAUGGUCUUAUUGACGCUGAGGCACGAAAGCGUGGGGAUCAAACAGGAUUAGAUACCCUGGUAGUCCACGCUGUAAACGCUGUCGAUUUGGGGGUUGGGGUUUAACUCUGGCGCCCGUAGCUAACGUGAUAAAUCGACCGCCUGGGGAGUACGGCCGCAAGGUUA
This 542-nucleotide ribosomal RNA is filed under the name uncultured bacterium. Its description in RNAcentral is "bacterial SSU rRNA". It matches the Rfam family "Bacterial small subunit ribosomal RNA", at positions 355 to 896 of the family's 1533-position model. The record is from RNAcentral.